GCCGGUCUAGCUCAACUGGCAGAGCAACUGACUUGUAAUCAGUAGGUUGGGGGUUCAAGUCCUCUGGCCGGCACCA
Molecule: transfer RNA, 76 nt
Filed under: Salicibibacter halophilus
Lineage: Bacteria; Bacillati; Bacillota; Bacilli; Caryophanales; Bacillaceae
Description: tRNA-Thr
Rfam family: tRNA
About the family: Transfer RNA (tRNA) molecules are approximately 80 nucleotides in length. Their secondary structure includes four short double-helical elements and three loops (D, anti-codon, and T loops).
Source: RNAcentral